This 433-nucleotide ribosomal RNA is filed under the name uncultured bacterium. RNAcentral describes it as "partial 16S ribosomal RNA". It matches the Rfam family "Bacterial small subunit ribosomal RNA", at positions 29 to 507 of the family's 1533-position model. The record is from RNAcentral.
AACGAACGCUGGCGGCAUGCCUAACACAUGCAAGUCGAACGAGACCUUCGGGUCUAGUGGCGCACGGGUGCGUAACGCCUGGGAACCUGCCCUUAGGUUCGGAAUAACUCCCCGAAAGGGGUGCUAAUCCCGGAUAAUGUCUUCGGACCAAAGAUUUAUCGCCUUUGGAUGGGCUCGGGUUGGAUUAGCUAGUUGGUAGGGUAAAAGCCUACCAAGGCGACGAUCCAUAGCUGGUCUGAGAGGAUGAUCAGCCACACUGGGCCUGAGACACGGCCCAGACUCCUACGGGAGGCAGCAGUGGGGAAUAUUGGACAAUGGGCGAAAGCCUGAUCCAGCAAUGCCGCGUGAGUGAUGAAGGCCUUAGGGUUGUAAAGCUCUUUUACCCGGGAUGAUAAUGACAGUACCGGGAGAAUAAGCUCCGGCUAACUCCGUG